ACCCAUGACCAUCUCAGCUGAUCUCAUCAGGUCUCGGAAGCUAAGCAGGUUUGAGCCUGGUUAGUGCUUGGAUGAGAGCCUGCUUGAGAACACCAGGUGUUCUGGACC
This 108-nucleotide ribosomal RNA is filed under the name Petromyzon marinus (sea lamprey). Lineage: Eukaryota; Metazoa; Chordata; Hyperoartia; Petromyzontiformes; Petromyzontidae. The record is from RNAcentral.